CUUUCAAGGAUACAGUUUAAUAGAGAGGACAACUACAGACUCAGUCAGGGGAGACAAACAGAAAUAGACCCAGCCUUUGCUGCCUUAGAGUGUGGUGGGCUCAGGAGUGAUAAGCAGACAUUAUUUUGCUCUGGACUCAGGAUGAAGAAUGGAAGAUGCUGGCAGAGCAAGACCAAGUAGAAGAAGGGAAGAGUGGUAACUGCCACCAUGAAAAUUUGUUUACAUUACGGUAUAAAGCAUGUCAUCUGAAAUGUAAAAGGAAGAUACAUCUAUUGGCCUAAAGUUAGCUGCUUGUCUGAUUUUACCCAGUUAACUGGCUUCAGCCUGCCAGAUCCUAAGUUGCCAGUGGCUUUGAGUACGUGACGUCCUGGAUCCUCCUCAAGACAUUACACUUCUCUCUGCAGUCCAUUUAUACUGGAUGGAAUUUGCCUUGACUUAUCUGCAAAAAUCAGCAAAAGGCAUAUCUUUUGUGUAUAAUGACUCAAUGGUUAGGAUUAGAUACUGAUGUUAGUGAGGAGGAAUUUUUGAAGGGGAACCUGAUUUUUUUUAAGUGGUCAGUUCAUAGUCACUAUUUUCACAUAAUGAUGACUUUUGCUUCCCUGCCUAAAUAUUCAAUAUGGAUGUUGGGAUUUCACAGGCACUAUGUGGGCCCAGGGACUGCCUGUGUUACAUCAUUCUUACAGAUCUUUACCAAAGGCUCUAAGACCUUGGGGAGCCUAUGGACCCCUGCAGGUUUGCCCAUCUACUCCAACUUGUCAUUUUACAGCUGGGGAAACUGAACCUGAAGAGAGGGUGGAACUUGUCCAAGGACACACAUAAAAAGUUAUCUUUCGAAGGAGCUGUUUAUUUAAGAACAACGCUUUAGAUUCGGAAAGACGUGGUUCUAAUCUCAGCAAUCUCUCUGACAAGCUACAACCUUGUGGAAGCUCAGUUUUAUCUGCAAGGUAGGACUAAUAACAGUAGAGCCUGCAUGGUGGGAGUAGAGAUGAGAAUGUACGCAAAACGCUUACCACAGUGCCCGCCCAUGGUAAGGGCUCAGUGAAGAGUGGCUGCUAUCAAGAUGGACCCGGGAUCCAGCUCUCCAGCCAGAAUCCACCAUGAGUUGAGAUCUUCUGUGACCAAUGAUCUUAAUGGGGUGGCAACCAUGGAAAUAGCUCUGUGGUGGGAGGCCACACAUGACAUUAUUCAAGUUUUGCAACUAACUGUGUGACCUAGGACCAUUCACUUGUUCAACAAAUAUGUACCUGCUACCUACUGGCAGGUGCAGUAGUAAAGAUUUAAGGGUGGAAGGAGACACAGCCCCUCCCCUCAGUUCUGUACACAGAGAUCUGCACUGAUGGGAGAGAGAGAGAGAGAGAAGGGGCAUCUUAACAGCAGCAUGUGAAGAUAGGAAGAGAUUACUUCCUGGAGGAGGGAGCGAAUAAGCUGAGACCCAAAGGAUGGGCACUAAAUAGCCUAAAACUAAACUACCCAUAUAGUAGUCACUAGCUACAUGUAGCCACUGAGCACGUGAAAAAUGGCUGGUCUGAAUUGAUAUGUGCUGUAAAUA
This is a non-coding RNA of Delphinapterus leucas (beluga whale), 1549 nucleotides long. The record is from RefSeq and is a predicted model, not a curated record. Lineage: Eukaryota; Metazoa; Chordata; Mammalia; Artiodactyla; Monodontidae.